Paramormyrops kingsleyae is the source of this 3467-nucleotide long non-coding RNA. RefSeq lists it as uncharacterized. Lineage: Eukaryota; Metazoa; Chordata; Actinopteri; Osteoglossiformes; Mormyridae. The record is from RefSeq and is a predicted model, not a curated record.
UUUUGGCACAACCGUGUUCAAGGUCAGAAACAGGCAGCUUGUCUGAUCGCCGCACUCAAACCACACUUGAUACACAAGACACCUCAAACCCUCACGUCAGACCGAUCCCUCAAAAGCCUUUAUUUCACAUUCACAAACGAGGAGCAGUCCAAAAAAAACAAGUGAAACAUUCAACAUGAAGUCUAGCCCCAGGGUUGGACAGGCCUCUGCAUGAGAACAGCAAGCAAGGGGGCAACGGCGAGAGAAUGUCGGUGGGCGGGCAAUUCCUCAGCCGAGGGGCCAGCGGGGAAAGUGAGUGGGCCCGGGCUGUGCGGCGGGAUCCGGCACCGGCGGCCAGAGGUGGAGGAGCAGUGGGAACUCCCUGGGGAGGAGAAGGCGCAUUUGAGAGAUCAAUGGAUCAAACCAAAGCACUACUGAUGACAGCUUAAAAGGACAUUGAUGAAUACGCCAUGCUGGAUGCCCAUCCUCCACCCACAAUGUGCAUGUGUAGAGUCGAUGACAUUUCACUAAAGAGCAUAAGGUACCCUUGCAUAACCUGGAUCACCGGUAUAAGUACAGAAGUCCACUUUAAUUUGCCACCUACCAAUCAUGUACAAUGUAUUGCAAUUAACCUUAUAACCACAUUAAGAAAUUUCAUUUUAAAAUCUGACCACCAUAGCCCCUCAGUUACUAAAUAAUUUGAUUGUUAAAUAAAAUGAUAAACCAUACUUUUUUUGACCCUAUUUAUGAAUGAUAAAAAUAUAACAUAUUUAUAUAUACUGUAUAUAUAAAUUGAUGGUUAUGCAAAAUAUUUUAACACAGCCAAGACAAAUUAACAGGAUUACUCCUUAAUUCCAUCUUAAAGUGCAUCUUUUUGCACACAGUACAAUUUACCGAAAAGUUGGGUAACACUUUACUUAAAGCUGUCAUAUAUAAUGCAUUGUGGAUAGCUUCAUAAUGCAUUAUAAUGUUCCGUAUAAGAUUUAAUAAACCAUUAUAGCACCUUCUAUUGACAGUAAUAGGGCAUUAGAGUGUUGAUUAUAACACUUCAUAAGCUCCAGUGAAGCUCUCAUCUAUAAUCACUAUAGAUACCUUCAUAAUGCAUUAUAAUGGUCAGUAUAAGAACUCAUAAAGCAUUACAGCAUGCGGCUUCUACUGACAGUCAUGGGGCAUUAUAGUGUUGAUUAUAAUGCUUCAUAAGCCCCAAAUUAGCUUUCAUCUAUAAUGCAGUCAAGAUACCAUCAUAAUGCAUUAUAGUGGCCGGUAUAAGAGUUAACGAUGUUUUGUACUGCAUUAUGAAGGUAUCUUGACUGCAUUAUAGAUGACAGCUUCAUAAAGCAUUCAAAAUGCAUAAUAAAUAUGGCUAUACUGUGAUGCCUUUUUAUACAUAUGUAUACCCAUGUUUAUAAUGCUUUAUGAAUGCAUUAUGUGUUAUAAAUGUGUUCAAAGAUUCUUAUAGACACCGUAAUCAUAGAAAAUGUUACCAUAAGUUGUAGUACCAAACAACCCUUUAACAGUAGAUGAAAAAGAAAUAUACAGAUUAUUAUGUAGGCCUAUUUGGCAUUCUUCCCACUUCAUAUAAUCUGUGUUACAUCAGUACCAUAAACUGGUAUAUACUAUUCAGUAAUAAUGCACUGGAUAAGCAAUAAUGGAAAAUGGAUGGAUGGAGAUUAUAAAUAAUAUUUUGGUUUAUAGUCAUUUAUAAACACAUUCAUAAUGCAUUUUAAUGCAUUCAUAAAGUAUUUAAAACAUGGCUAUAUUUAUAAAGCCAUGUUUAUUAUGCAUUAAUACUGCCUUAUGAAUCUCUCAUUUAUAAUUUACUGUUGACGCCAUUAUAAGGCAGUAUAAAAGCAUCCUUAAUGCUUAUACUGAUCAUUAUACUGCAUUAUGAAGGCAUCUAUAGUGCAAUAUAGAUGAGAGCUUCAGAAAGUAUUCAUAAUGCAUGAUACACACGGCUAUAAUGUGAUAUGCCUUUUGAUGAAUAUUUAUAGCCAUGUUUAUAAUGCUUUAUGAAUGCAUUUUUAUUUGUUAUGAAUGUAUUCAUGAAUAACUAAGAACAGACCCUUAAGUAAAGUGUUACCAACGUUUCUUUGCAUUCUUGCACAUUGAUCUGCCCACAAAGGCACAAUGUUCCACUUGUGUGGUCAUUACAUUUUUAAACAGUACAGUGUAGCAGGGGUGUAUUUCCUGAAUCUUGCAUGCAUUGCAGUCCUCCAAUACCAAGGGGUCGAUAGUACUUGCUUCAAACCAUCCAUUAAACAACUAGGCCUAUUUCUUUGUUUAUGUUAUGUUUUAGCUGUUCAGGUAGUUCACUGACUGAGAUACAUUAAAUUAAUGAGACAGCAAAUUAAAAAUCAACAUAAAAUCAUAUGAAGGAAAAGAAAUCAAAAAAGCUGUUAGCAACAAAGAUAAAUGAAUAAAUUGUAUCCAAAAAGGAAUGUUCAAUAUUGGGAAAAUUUUGUUGUUAUUAUUGUUUAUUUUUAAUUUUUAUAUUUUUAUAGUGGAGAUUCAUUGAGGAAAUUAUUGACUUACUAUGUCCGCAACACAAGGACAGCAUGUUAAAUGAACAGAGUUAAUAAUAAAAUAAGCUGCUAAGGAUGUUCUUGUGAGCUUUGAUCAUGUAGCUCAUCCGAUUUGUUUGACACAAAUCCUGUCACAUUAUUUAAACCCAUUUGAGAUGUAUUUAAAGGUUUGAAAAUGCUUUUCUGCUAAUGAGUAAUUCAUAGUUUACAUUCAAAGUGACUGCCAGACCAGCUCUAAAAUUAGCCACAACUUAUUGUUCUUUUGCAACCUAAAUGAGAUGAAUAUUCCCAUGAUUUGGAUUAAACAUGUUUGUCAAUAAAGUUAGUAUUAGAAAUGUUACAGUUUUGCCAAAUGUAAUUCAGUGAUACUUCUUCCAAAGGGCAUUUGAUGCUAGAAAGCACUAUGCGCUGAUUUAUCCACUUUCCAGGAUGAAUAUUACCUCCUAAAUCCCAACAGUUGCUUCGCUAAAAAUGCACCUGCCCUGAUUAUCAAAAGUAAACUGGACACGGGGCACCUUGAGCUAAUUUGCUGAAAUGCAUCUUGACAGCAUGAUAAUAGCAUAACCUGCAAAACAUUCAGUCUUUACCAAUAAGCUAAUAACAAAUUAAGUGGGUUGAAUUGACUUACAACAGAUAAUAAUACCCAGCAGUCAGUUAAUACUGUCGCUAUGGCCAUUGAUUCUUCCACUAAUGUAAGCGAGUUCUUUUCAAAACAGUGAACUACUAGCUAACCAGGUAACAUUGCCAUUGCUUAACGUCUUAGUUGAGUAAUUGCUCUAUGCUUCAAUUUAUUUCUAUCUAUUCUAUUAAACAAUUAUCUUUGCUUUUAGUAGGUUUAUUUGAAAGGUUUAUUCCAUAAUGACUAUCAAAGUGUCGAUCAAUUGUCAGUGAUAAGCUCUUGUUACUGGGCAAAGUUUGCUAGUGUAAUACAAAUCUGAUGUCUAUAAAAGCUCAACAUAAAUCACA